RNAcentral lists this ribosomal RNA (983 nucleotides) under uncultured bacterium. RNAcentral describes it as "bacterial SSU rRNA". It matches the Rfam family "Bacterial small subunit ribosomal RNA", at positions 12 to 1035 of the family's 1533-position model. The record is from RNAcentral.
UUUGAUCCUGGCUCAGAAUGAACGUUGGCGGCGUGGAUUAGGCAUGCAAGUCGAGCGAGUCUACCUAGUAGCAAUAUUGGGUAAGUCGAGCGGCGUAAGGGGCAGUAAUACCUGGGAACGUACCCUGAGGUCGGGGAUAGCUGCUGGAAACGGCGAGUAAUACCCGAUGAUCUUGGAAAAGCAAAGGCUUGCCGCCUUGGGAGCGGCCCAGGCGAUAUUAGCUAGUUGGUGGGGUAAUGGCCUACCAAGGCUUAGAUGUCUAGCGGGUGUGAGAGCACGACCCGCGCCACUGGCACUGAGACACUGGCCAGACACCUACGGGUGGCUGCAGUCGAGAAUCUUCGGCAAUGAGCGCAAGCUUGACCGAGCGACGCCGCGUGCGGGAUGAAGGCCUUCGGGUUGUAAACCGCUUUGGUCCGAAAGAAAGGGUAAAACUUGAUCGAUCGGAGAAACAAGGACGGGCUAAGUUCGUGCCAGCAGCCGCGGUAAGACGAACCGUCCAAACGUUAUUCGGAAUCACUGGGCUUAAAGGGCGCGUAGGCGGCCGAGCGGGUCGUGGGUGAAAUCCCCCAGCUUAACUGGGGAACUGCUUACGAUACCACUGCGGCUCGAGGAAGGAAGGGGCAAUUGGAACUGUCGGUGGAGCGGUGAAAUGCGUUGAUAUCGACAGGAACGCCUGUGGCGAAAGCGAAUUGCUGGUCCUUUUCUGACGCUGAGGCGCGAAAGCCAGGGGAGCAAACGGGAUUAGAUACCCCGGUAGUCCUGGCCUUAAACGAUGAGAACUAGGUAGUGGGUCCGACCUGGGCACACUGCCGAAGCGAAGUCUUAAGUUCUCCGCCUGGGGAGUAUGGUCGCAAGGCUGAAACUCAAAGGAAUUGACGGGGCUCACACAAGCGGUGGAGCAUGUGGCUUAUUCGAGCUACGCGAAGAACCUUACCAGCUGACAUGUGCGAAAGCGCAGUGUACCUGGCUGAAAAGGUCAG